GCAAACAGGAUUAGAUACCUUGGUAGUCCACGCUGUAAACGAUGUCGAUUUGGAGAGUUGUGCCCUUGAGGCGUGGCUUCCGGAGCUAACGCGUUAAAUCGACCGCCUGGGGAGUACGGCCGCAAGGUUAAAACUCAAAUGAUAUUGACGGGGGCCCGCACAAGCGGUGGAGCAUGUGGUUUAAUUCGAUGCAACGCGAAGAACCUUACCUACUCUUGACAUCCAGAGAACUUUCCAGAGAUGGAUUGGUGCCUUCGGGAACUCUGAGACAGGUGCUGCAUGGCUGUCGUCAGCUCGUGUUGUGAAAUGUUGGGUUAAGUCCCGCAACGAGCGCAACCCUUAUCCUUUGUUGCCAGCGGUUCGGCCGGGAACUCAAAGGAGACUGCCAGUGAUAAACUGGAGGAAGGUGGGGAUGACGUCAAGUCAUCAUGGCCCUUACGAGUAGGGCUACACACGUGCUACAAUGGCGUAUACAAAGAGAAGCGACCUCGCGAGAGCAAGCGGACCUCAUAAAGUACGUCGUAGUCCGGAUUGGAGUCUGCAACUCGACUCCAUGAAGUCGGAAUCGCUAGUAAUCGUAGAUCAGAAUGCUACGGUGAAUACGUUCCCGGGCCUU
This 616-nucleotide ribosomal RNA is filed under the name Serratia marcescens. RNAcentral's name for it is "bacterial SSU rRNA". It matches the Rfam family "Bacterial small subunit ribosomal RNA", at positions 768 to 1382 of the family's 1533-position model. The record is from RNAcentral. Lineage: Bacteria; Pseudomonadati; Pseudomonadota; Gammaproteobacteria; Enterobacterales; Yersiniaceae.